RNAcentral lists this ribosomal RNA (243 nucleotides) under uncultured fungus. Its description in RNAcentral is "partial small subunit ribosomal RNA". It matches the Rfam family "Eukaryotic small subunit ribosomal RNA", at positions 1326 to 1591 of the family's 1831-position model. Lineage: Eukaryota; Fungi. The record is from RNAcentral.
CGAUAACGAACGAGACCUUAACCUGCUAAAUAGCCAGGCUAGCUUUGGCCGGUCGCCGGCUUCUUAGAGGGACUAUCGGCUCAAGCCGAUGGAAGUUUGAGGCAAUAACAGGUCUGUGAUGCCCUUAGAUGUUCUGGGCCGCACGCGCGCUACACUGACAGAGCCAACGAGUUCAUCACCUUGACCGAAAGGUCUGGGUAAUCUUGUUAAACUCUGUCGUGCUGGGGAUAGAGCAUUGCAAUC